UUUUUGAGUCCCAUAACCAUUUGCCUUCCUUCUUCAGCCUCUCUCUUUUCCGGUCAUCUUCUUGUUCAUCUCCUCCUCCUACUUCGUUGGUUUUCUGUUCAUCUCUUGCAGUCUUGCUGGUUUUCUUCUCUUUCUCUUUUAUUUUAUUUUAUGGAUCAUUAAAUAUUUCUCCUUCCAUCUUUUGUUGUACCAAUGAAUGGCUAUUUGGAUGGGAAAAACAGUCUAAGGUUUUGUUACUGCAGUUAUUUAUGCCCUCAUUUCUUCCGCUAUUUCUGAUGCAAUAAUUUCCACCUCAAAAGUUCACUAGCACUGACAAAGCUGUGAAUUUUCAAAGGGCCAACCUUCUGUGGCCCUCGGCAAGGAGUUUCCCGCAAGUGCACCACGGUUAAUUCAGGUUUUACCCAGUCCGAUGGCCCUCAGAAAUUGUUUGCACCCAGUGGGUUUCGAACUUGAGACCUUGAAAGGGAGCAAACCCCAAGGCUCAAGUCAAUUGCCACCAGGCCAACCCCUGAGGGUUUCUUGAUAUGUUAACUGCGUUUACUUCUAAAUCGCCCUACAGAGCAGACUUAGAUCAGUUUUUUCCAUGUCUGGCCUUCAAGUUUUCUCUGUUAAACAACUAUGGUGGCUAAAAAGUUCUGGGCCCUUACUCUUGUAAACAACAAGAAGACCCCAUUCGCUUGAGGAUCCACCAUUCUUGCCUUCUCCGGUUACCAGGUUAUGAUUUCUUUGAUUGGGGCAGAAGGCAGCUUGAAAUAGGGAGGAGAAUGAGAGAUGAUAUUAUUGAACUGGGAACUCUGCAGAGUAUAAUGAAUGAAUUGCACACAAGUACAAAAAUGUCUCAAAAUUAUAUCACGUUGCUGCAAUCAGAGUUUACAACCUUGAAUUUUGAAGAUGGUUUUCCAGAAUAGAGCAACAUGAAACAACAUGCUGAUGAAUCUCCGACAGAGUGAAUAUUCUUGUCCAGAUGAAUAUCGAUUUAUCUCUUAUCAUUGUCACUUGCUCGACCUAGAGGUUGUUGGAAACGCAUGAACGUGGGAUGAGGCACUUCAGCUGCAGUUGAACUGCAAAACUAUGUAAAGGGAGUUUCCCGUUGUUGUUUUGUCCACUAAAGAAGACUUUCAGUACUGGUGCUUAGCUUUUUGGAGAAAUUGCUUUGAUUGGGAGGUUGGCUCUACUGUUGAAUGAAUUAGAGAAGAUGAUAAAAGCAAAAAAAAAUAGGCAUUACUCUAUUAUUCAUGCUACAAGAUCUCAAUAGGGAUGAGGACUGCAAUACAAGUUGGGCUUGGAAAGAGUUGUGGAUUUCAAAGGCACCUUAUAAAGUUCAGCUAUUUUAGUUGGCCUUCAAAAUAGUAGUUAUGAAUUUCAAAUGCACUGUUUGUUAUGCAUGCUAUCAGCAUUUAAACUUUGUAGGAGUCUGCUCUGAUGGUCCGCAUAGCCUCUUAUUUUUUAUUAUAUAGCCCGAAAAAAUGGCGGGUUAAACGGGUUUGAGAUGUUGAUGAAUUCAGUAGAUGGCCGAGGAGAAGACUAAA
This is a non-coding RNA of Nicotiana tabacum (common tobacco), 1529 nucleotides long. The record is from RefSeq and is a predicted model, not a curated record. Lineage: Eukaryota; Viridiplantae; Streptophyta; Magnoliopsida; Solanales; Solanaceae.